CUGUUUGAGGAAGAUCCACAUGAUACUUUUGAGCAAGGCAAGUGGAUUCUCACUCUGCAUUUCUUAUUGUACCCAAACAAUACAUUUAAUAAGAUUUACUUUUAGGUAUGUGCAUAAUUUGAUGGGUUUGCCUAAAUUGGAUUACCUAGAAAUACCAACCUUAUUCCUUGAUUAACCUAGGUUUAAUACUGUUGGGGGUCUCCUUCUCUGCCGAAGGUACUCAAGACGGAGAUAUUGUCUGUAAGCAACAAGAUUGAAUGCCGAAGCUACAACAAACAUGUGUAAAGAGCCAAAGGAUGAUAGCUUCGGCUUAAGGUGGCGACGAGGGUCAAACAUAAUGUUGAGUCGAAGAGGAAAAUACUAGUUAAUCUCUGAUGUUUUGUAUUCGGAUUAUGUGUACAUGUUAAGGUCAUAAAUAUAUUUUUACUUGGGUUGUGUCCCGUGGCUAUAAAUAGGUGAACAGUACCCCCCAUACUGUUCAUGCUGGAUGGGAAUUGCAUUCACGCUUUUGUCUUCUAGCAAGCCGAAGGUACAAUUGUAAUACACAUUAUGUAUCACUUUGUC
RNAcentral lists this long non-coding RNA (564 nucleotides) under Zea mays. RNAcentral describes it as "long non-coding RNA (ZMAY_LNC003895)". The record is from RNAcentral. Lineage: Eukaryota; Viridiplantae; Streptophyta; Magnoliopsida; Poales; Poaceae.